Molecule: ribosomal RNA, 275 nt
Filed under: uncultured Lachnospiraceae bacterium
Lineage: Bacteria; Bacillati; Bacillota; Clostridia; Lachnospirales; Lachnospiraceae
Description: partial 16S ribosomal RNA
Rfam family: Bacterial small subunit ribosomal RNA
Source: RNAcentral
UUGAUUCUUCGGAUGAUUUUCAGUUGACUGAGCGGCGGACGGGUGAGUAACGCGUGGGUGACCUGCCCCAUACCGGGGGAUAACAGUUAGAAAUGACUGCUAAUACCGCAUAAGCGCACAGUGCUGCAUGGCACAGUGUGAAAAACUCCGGUGGUAUGAGAUGGACCCGCGUUGGAUUAGGCAGUUGGCGGGGUAACGGCCCACCAAACCGACGAUCAGUAGCCGGCCUGAGAGGGCGACCGGCCACAUUGGGACUGAGACACGGCCCAAACUCC